UCCAGACUCCUACGGGAGGCAGCAGUGGGGAAUAUUGGGCAAUGGGCGCAAGCCUGACCCAGCAACGCCGCGUGAAGGAAGAAGGCUUUCGGGUUGUAAACUUCUUUUCUGAGGGACGAAGGAAGUGACGGUACCUCAGGAAUAAGCCCCGGCUAACUACGUGCCAGCAGCCGCGGUAAUACGUAGGGGGCGAGCGUUAUCCGGAUUCACUGGGUGUAAAGGGAGCGUAGACGGCCAUGCAAGCCAGGGGUGAAAGGCCGGGGGCCAACCCCGGGACUGCCCUUGGAACUGCAUGGCUGGAGUGCGGGAGGGGGAGGCGGAAUUCCUGGUGUAGCGGUGAAAUGCGUAGAUAUCAGGAGGAACACCAGUGGCGAAGGCGGCCUGCUGGGCGACAACUGACGGUGAGGCGCGAAAGCGUGGGGAGCAAACAGGAUUAGAUACCCGGGUAA
This 449-nucleotide ribosomal RNA is filed under the name uncultured bacterium. RNAcentral describes it as "partial 16S ribosomal RNA". It matches the Rfam family "Bacterial small subunit ribosomal RNA", at positions 330 to 793 of the family's 1533-position model. The record is from RNAcentral.